AUCGGUGACAGGUGGUGCAUGGUUGUCGUCAGCUCGUGUCGUGAGAUGUUGGUUAAGUCCCGCAACGAGCGCAACCCCUAUUGUUAGUUGCCAUCAUUCAGUUGGGCACUCUAGCGAGACUGCCGGUAAUAAACCGGAGGAAGGUGGGGAUGACGUCAAAUCAUCAUGCCCCUUAUGACCUGGGCUACACACGUGCUACAAUGGUUGGUACAACGAGUUGCGAGUCGGUGACGGCGAGCUAAUCUCUUAAAGCCAAUCUCAGUUCGGAUUGUAGGCUGCAACUCGCCUACAUGAAGUCGGAAUCGCUAGUAAUCGCGGAUCAGUACGCCGCGGUGAAUACGUUCCCGGGCCUU
RNAcentral lists this ribosomal RNA (353 nucleotides) under uncultured Streptococcus sp. Its description in RNAcentral is "bacterial SSU rRNA". It matches the Rfam family "Bacterial small subunit ribosomal RNA", at positions 1027 to 1382 of the family's 1533-position model. Lineage: Bacteria; Bacillati; Bacillota; Bacilli; Lactobacillales; Streptococcaceae. The record is from RNAcentral.